RNAcentral lists this ribosomal RNA (301 nucleotides) under uncultured bacterium. Its description in RNAcentral is "partial 16S ribosomal RNA". It matches the Rfam family "Bacterial small subunit ribosomal RNA", at positions 509 to 807 of the family's 1533-position model. The record is from RNAcentral.
CAGCAGCCGCGGUAAUACGAAGGGGGCUAGCGUUGCUCGGAAUGACUGGGCGUAAAGGGCGCGUAGGCGGCGGCCAAAGUCAGGCGUGAAAUUCCCGGGCUCAACCUGGGGGCUGCGUUUGAUACUUGGUUGCUUGAGUGGGGAAGAGGGUCGUGGAAUUCCCAGUGUAGAGGUGAAAUUCGUAGAUAUUGGGAAGAACACCGGUGGCGAAGGCGGCGACCUGGUCCUUUACUGACGCUGAGGCGCGAAAGCGUGGGGAGCAAACAGGAUUAGAGACCCCAGUAGUCCCUGUCUCUUAUAC